AUAAUGAGACUUCCGUCGAGAGACGGCUCGGUGAGAACCACGGAGGGGCAGGAACGACCCAUGG
Molecule: non-coding RNA, 64 nt
Filed under: unclassified sequences
Description: pemK RNA
Rfam family: pemK RNA
Source: RNAcentral